Cygnus olor (mute swan) is the source of this 3005-nucleotide long non-coding RNA. RefSeq lists it as uncharacterized. The transcript has 4 exons. The record is from RefSeq and is a predicted model, not a curated record. NCBI's taxonomy places the organism in Eukaryota, Metazoa, Chordata, Aves, Anseriformes, Anatidae.
AUAAAUAACAGUAACGAUCAAUAAGUUUGUGUUUGUAUGUACACAUCUGUAUGUGUACACAUACACUGCUCUAUAUACAGAGUGUGCAUAUGCAGAGCCAUGUUUUUUCACUGGAUAAAUAAAUUCUUCUUAGCAAAGUUGUAAGUCUAUAAAAUACAUAUGUAGCCUACCAACUAUAUGUAUGUUACAAAAGCAAGGAAAAUCCGUAAUUGUGCAAUGAGUUUGUUCCUGCAUAACUGUUGCAUGCACUAUUUACUCUUAUUGGCUUUCAUAUGACCAUUCCAAAGCUUAAAACUAAGUAUGUGUUCAAUGUUUAGGUUUUCAGAGGAACCAGAAUGUAAAAAUGUUUUUAAACAGAAAACUAGUUCCAAGUUUUGUUUUCUUUUGUUUUUGUUGUUUUGGAAGAAUAUUCCUAGGAUGUAUUUACUUUGCCUGAUGUUUUUUUUUGAUAUCUACUACAGUUCCAUCACCUGUAGUCUAUUGCCCUGUGCAUGUGUGUCCUUUGUCAAGGACUAGUUUUGACUACCAUACCAGUAGGAAUAUGUUGACAGUCAAAAGCAAUGUGGAAGAUAACUCCUUUUCCUUGAAAAGAUUCAAUUUUUGAGAUGAGGAUUUGGCAAUUUUAACAAAAGAUUAAAAUAAAUGAAAUAUUCAUAUAUUUACAAAGUGAAGUUAAAAAAAAUCCAUUUAUUAUCUAAAGAUGCUUAAAAGUUGUAAAGUGUAUAUUGGCUAACAAACUAUCAUAAAGUCACCUUUUGUGUAGUAAUAGCACAAAAUAAACUAAAGAAAGAACAGGUUGCAGACAGUUUCUGUAGAACAUGUGAUGUGCUGUGUGUUCACACCCUAGCUCACCCUGUAGUGGCUUGUUUGUACAUCUACCUACAGGCAGUAGAAGCCUUGUUUCACCUUUUGCUCAGACUUAAUUUAGUAGGUGCAAGCAGCCAGGAUAGUAGAAAGAGAAAUAAUUAAGAAUGAAAUUAGGCUAAAUUUAGUCUGAAUACUAUACAAAGCCUUACUGACUUACAUAUACAGAGUAUAUAGAGAGUAUAUGGUGAACAUGAGUGAGAAAUAAAAAUUUGAAAACUGAGAUUCUGAUUGAUUUGCAUAAUGUAAAUCUUUAAGGGUAAAAAUGAAACCCAACAGGCAUAAUUAGAUUUGCAAUAAAAAACGCAGGUAAGCAAAUCUAAUGCUGUCUUCCUCUUCAAAGCAUAUAGUACUUUGGAUACUAUCAUAAAACAGCAGUGCUGUGGAGCAAAAUAGGAAAGGAGAGGUUGGAAAUUGAAGACAUUACAAAUGUUACUUUCCUCAAACGUUUGGGGGAUGAAUUGGUUAACAUAGGUACAAAAGACAUGAGAAUCUGAAGCUACCUUUUUGAAAAGUGUGCAAGACUCCUCAUAGUCCCUCUUCUGUGUACAUAAGUGUACAUAAGGGCAGUGGCACCGUUCUCAUCAUCUAACUUAGGGUAUUUAACUGAGGUGGUUAUGUCAUGAAACUGUGGCUUCAGGAGAUGCUUUGGGUUAAAUUAAAAGUUUAAUACUGACAAAAAGGCCUUCUCUGUUACCUCCCUGUCCUUCCAUAACUCUGUGUGCUCUUGUGUGUGAUCUCACUACUUACCUUGUGCCACCCUUGGAACUCAUUUGACUGCAGAACAGCAGAAUAAAACAGCAGAAACUGUUUUACCCAAAAGUGUAUGUUUUUGCAAUGUUACUGAGUUUAGUUGCCUGACCUUGAGAACAAUCAGAUAAGCUCCAGAUGCAAUACAGAAAAAUGUGGGAGAAAAGUAAAAGAAGCUGGAAAGAGGGGAUGGAACUGGAUGACCUCCCUCCGAGAGCUGUCAGUGUGUCUCAGCCACUUGUCAACGUCUGGAUUCCCUGUUUACCUUGUAGAAAGAAUUGCAUCUUUCAGUCCUUCAAGUCCAUUCUACCAACUGUUUUACACUACCUUCAUCAUGUUGGUGCUAAAAGAAGGAUGCUCACGAUAUAAAAUAUUGGAAGAGGGAUAAAAAGGAUCAGUUUGAACUGUUGAGUCAGUGGCGCAAUAAUAUGACUGAAUUUUUCCCUUGGGAUAUGGGGAAAGGAUUGAAGUAAGAGAGCUGGCUUUGGUCCCUCAACUCCUUCUCCAAAAAUACAAACGUGCCUUAUUGUUUCUAUGGUAGCCACUAGAGAACCUCUAGAGUGGUCAGUCAUAAAUGUAACUGGAGAAUUGACAUCAAGAUAAUCAGUCAGGUAAUUAUACUAAAAGAAGCAGAAUGGGACACUACUUGCCUGAUUUUCCUACAGAUACAUGCUGUUUGUUUUCUUGGUGUAAUUGCAAAUAGACAGUACACAUUUUCAGGUAUAGUUCUUUAGGUUAUUUCUUUUCUGUGACCACCACAAUUAUAGCUAGCUCAUUCACAAAUUUAAGUAAUGCUUAAGUGUCAUCACAAAUAACGUGUCACUUGUUUAAAAGGCAGGAGGCAUAAGAACAAAUCAUUGCUAGUGCAAAAGUUUCUGUAAUUGGAAAUUUGCCAGUCCAUCUUAAAACAGGAAGUAGAUUGCAAUCUGUUUUGUGUCUCUAUGAUUUUUCAUAGAUAUUGCUUAUCCUUAAGUGCUCUCGUUGAAAAACAUACCUCUGUUUGAACCAUCCCCCUGAUUUUCAGCACCAGCAGAGAAAUAGAGCUUCAAUGAUGUGGAAGUUAAAUCUAGUCUAGACUAUUAUAGAUUGUUUCAUUUCCUCUGUAGACAGAUUCAGCCUACAAGGCUGUAAUUUUACACCUUUUAAAAUAACUGUAUUAUUUAGGUGUCCAGGAUAGGAUGGAAAAUAUAUAUUAUAAAGCUAAACUACAUUGUAUUCUUUUGAUAGCGAUGGUUAUGUAUACACACUCACAAAACUUUGCAGUAUCUGGGAGGCAGGAUUACUGUAUUAAAGUACGAAAAACACUAAUGGUUGCAGGCACAGUAUGAAUUAUCUUACCCCACUGCUGUACCCAGUCAUCUUUACUGGGGAAAAUAGGGAGAAGAAUGGAA